AGUGAACGCUGGCGGCGUGCCUAACACAUGCAAGUCGAACGAUGAUUGGAGAGCUUGCUCUUCAUGAUUAGUGGCGCACGGGUGAGUAAUGCAUAGGUAAUGUGCCCCUUAGAGGGGGAUAGCCACUGGAAACGGUGAUUAAUACCCCAUACUCCUUCUGGUCAUAAGGCCAGUCGGGAAAUGUUUUUCGCUAAGGGAUCAGCCUAUGUCCUAUCAGGUAGUUGGUGAGGUAACGGCUCACCAAGCCAAUGACGGGUAUCUGGUUUGAGAGGAUGAUCAGACACACUGGAACUGAGACACGGUCCAGACUCCUACGGGAGGCAGCAGUGAGGAAUAUUGCACAAUGGAGGAAACUCUGAUGCAGCAACGCCGCGUGGAGGAUGACGCAUUUCGGUGUGUAAACUCCUUUUAAGAGGGAAGAUUAUGACGGUACCUCUUGAAUAAGCACCGGCUAACUCCGUGCCAGCAGCCGCAGUAA
Molecule: ribosomal RNA, 478 nt
Filed under: uncultured bacterium
Lineage: Bacteria
Description: partial 16S ribosomal RNA
Rfam family: Bacterial small subunit ribosomal RNA
Source: RNAcentral